ACGUAGAUAAAGAAGCAGAAGCUGCAAUUACCUAUCAGAUCCGUAAAGCUUACCCUGACCACACUAUCAUUGGUGAA
RNAcentral lists this transfer RNA (77 nucleotides) under Shewanella piezotolerans WP3. RNAcentral describes it as "tRNA-Met". Lineage: Bacteria; Pseudomonadati; Pseudomonadota; Gammaproteobacteria; Alteromonadales; Shewanellaceae. The record is from RNAcentral.